Zophobas morio is the source of this 588-nucleotide long non-coding RNA. RefSeq lists it as uncharacterized. The record is from RefSeq and is a predicted model, not a curated record. The transcript has 4 exons. Lineage: Eukaryota; Metazoa; Arthropoda; Insecta; Coleoptera; Tenebrionidae.
GUAAUAACAAAACGUUACGGAACAUUUUUCCAAAUCCAAAUCAAUGCGUGCCUAGCGUUUAUAUCAUAACAACGUUUUGUGCAUAGAAACCGGAUAAACAAAGUUUUUCGAAUUAGAGACGGGUUAGAAAUUUUCAGAUCAAUAUCUUCAAAAACAACGAAUUUGCAUUGUGAGAUCUCAUCAUAAUUCCAUUUGUACAGUCGAUUGCAGGGACAAUAUGGUCAAAAUCUGUGGAAGAGUUUUUAAAAAUGUGUUUGCGUCGAAACAAAACCUCCGGUAAAGUGUUGGUCGCAAAUAGAAGAAUAUGGUCUAAAGUUUGGAUAUUGAUAAAUUCCGCUGGGACUUUCAGUACUUGUAAAAACCAUUGCAACAUUUUGGAAUUUGCGAUUUGGAACUGGGCGUUUUAUUGCAGAUAUUUACGGCAGGCAUGGUCCGAACUGGUUUUUUUGCCGUUUACAUAUUUUUAAAAGCUUUUCGACAAAUUUUGGUCGUAUUUGCUCUCGUGUUUUAAUCGGAUGUAUGCCUGGGAUCAUGAUGAAAUUCCCAAAAUAAAUGGAAUUGGAUCGCUUAGUGUCAACAUGUACCUAC